RNAcentral lists this ribosomal RNA (372 nucleotides) under uncultured organism. RNAcentral's name for it is "bacterial SSU rRNA". It matches the Rfam family "Bacterial small subunit ribosomal RNA", at positions 526 to 896 of the family's 1533-position model. The record is from RNAcentral.
CAGAGGGGGCGAGCGUUGUUCGGAAUUACUGGGCGUAAAGGGCGCGUAGGCGGCCCGCUAAGUCGAACGUGAAAUCCCCAGGCUCAACCUGGGAACUGCGUCCGAUACUGGCAGGCUUGAAUCCGGGAGAGGGAUGUGGAAUUCCAGGUGUAGCGGUGAAAUGCGUAGAUAUCUGGAGGAACACCGGUGGCGAAGGCGGCAUCCUGGACCGGUAUUGACGCUGAGGCGCGAAAGCUAGGGGAGCAAACGGGAUUAGAUACCCCGGUAGUCCUAGCCCUAAACGAUGAAUGCUUGGUGUGGCGGGUAUCGAUCCCUGCCGUGCCGAAGCUAACGCAUUAAGCAUUCCGCCUGGGGAGUACGGUCGCAAGGCUG